CCUGGCUGGCCAUCAUCCUCUUCUUCUGCUUUGUUCAUUUGCAUUGCAUUAUUUUUAUUAAAUGAGCUUUCAGUGGAGCCCUGCUCUCUGUCAAAAGAAGAAUCAAACCCUGGAAUAUUUCAGCGUGCAUCAGUUGGGUUUGCAGGUGACACCAGCAGGGCAGCAGCCCCAGCUCAGCCAGGGGCUCUCCUCGUGCAGCAGCCCAGGGGAUCCCAUCCUGCUGCUCCCUCAUCCCUUCGGACACCCAGCUGCUCGUCCCAGGUGCCACUGCUGCCAUGGGAACUCGUAUCCAGCAGUGGAGGAGGUAUAAAGACAACCAGCAUGGAUUUCCCUGUCUGGUCCCCUGCAUCUUUGCACAUUUUCUGUCCUUUCUGUCUCUGCAGCACUUGUGAGCUGUCUCUGGUUUUCACCAUAAAGCAGCAUGGGAAUUCUCCCAGCUGGUAUUUAGUGGAAACCAGCCUCCUGCAUUCUCCCCACCCAAUUUCCAAGCUUCCAAUUAAAAGAACAGUAAUUUGGAACCCAAUUUCUAGUCACAAUACUCUUAACAUUUAGUGUAUGUUGUUGCAAUUAUUAUUGAAGGUGGAUAUAAAGUUGGGUUAGUGAAUAUAUGAUUUUAUGUAAUAAUUUUCUCACAGUUACCUGCCAGAUAAUUUCCCAUUUUUCGGGCUCACUUUUAAAGAUAGGACAUAGACACUACACUGUUAAUAAUGCAGUGCAAAUUUUAAUGACUGGGAGUUGAAAUUGGCUAGAGAGAGAAAGCAGGCUUCCUAUUUGAAAAUCCCUUUCUGUGCAGUAUCCAAACGUGUUCUCUGCUCUCCCGAGUGGCUGUGAGGGUGUGCAGACACCCCGGACAGGCAGCGCUGCAGCUUCUUUGCAGGCACCUGCCUUUUGUGCUUUUCAUAUGUGUGGGUUUCACAUCACUUCUAGAUCCCUGCAGUCACAAUAUUUAGACUGUGUUAAUUUGCUAAUUGCAUUUGGAAACUUUCUUUCCUAGCUGAAGGCAGCAUGUUUGGAGAUGCCUGUGAGAGCAGCACGUUCACAGAGUGGGCCCUGGGGAAAGGGCAGCUCCUCCUGGCCCUGUCACUUUAGCUCUGGGAUCUCCCUUCCACAGCUCAGGAGCGUAAAAACUUGGGAGAUGGGAAAAUUGUGUCCUGUGUUACAGCUGUAACUGGACAGACUGGGGAGUGCUGGGAGAGGGACAGGAUGGGAAGGUUUGGGCUGAUGGCAGACCCUCAUCCUGGUGACCGCUGGGACACUGCAGUUUCCCUCCUCAAGGCACACACUUGUAAACUGAUUCUCUCAAUAGCACCAGCUGUCUUUAUACUGCAGCAGAUUUCUCCAGCCCCUUCUCCAAAAGAGCCCAGAAAUGGCCUCUGCUGGGAGAAGCAGGGAGCGGGAGGUGCCCAGCUUGCCACAGCAGUUUGGUGGCACUGGACUGGUGUGUGACUGGCAGAAACAAACAGGGCUCUGUUGCUCUCCUUGGAAAUAACAUUUCCUGGAGGUGGCUCUCGGUGACACCUCCCAGAGCCUUGUAGUGGCUUCACAUCCUGCUUUACCCUGGUGCAAAGCCACGGUGCUCACGGAGCAAAUUUAUGGCUUUUCCUUGGCUGGGAACCAGGGUCGCUCCUCUCAGUCGAACACGCUCCUCCCAUGGGCCCUUUGGGAAGGGUCCGUCACACAGGGAUCAGUUUUUUCAGAAUAGCCCUACUCAGUUGCAGAUUAAAGUUUGGAGAGUUUCCUUUAAAACACACUGACUGCAGCUUUUGUUACUUCAAAAGAAGCACAGGAUAUUUCACAUACCUUCCCUUGUUGUAAUGACUGUUAUAGACGUUUUCCCCUUAAAAUAGCUGGAAUUCAUUAAGUCAAAUUCAUUGGCAAGAAAUCUGUGAACUGAGUGUAGCUUGUUUAAGUCUCAGGACUAGUUAAAAAUAGUUCGUGUGCAUUAAUUCUGUGGAAAACAAAAGAGUAAAUAAUUUCCAUUAGUUUAAUGGAAAUGAGAUAAUGGCACGGUUUCUCCAGUGUGUUAUAAUUACACAGUUUAUUUGAAGAAUAAGAUUCUAGAGUACUAUAAGGAACUCUGUAUGGUUGUUACUACUGUAAACAAUCAUAAUCAUUAAAGUAGAAGGUUUUCUCAGGUCUGCAUGGUCCCUGGGAAUUGUUAAAACUCUUGUACAAGACAUUAGAUUUUUAAAUUUUAAUUUUUUUUAAAAGCUUAAACCAAUAAUUUUCAGCUGAAGAGAUAAUGUGGGAAGUAAUUGCUUAUCCCAGUCAGAUGGCCCAGAAUAACUUGAACUUUUCCAGUUUCUUAGUGGUGUGCAACAGCUUUUGUGAUGUGUGUGUUUGGUGAUGAGCUCACUGCAGUGAGCUCAGCAGCCUGCUCUGCUCUCUGGGGAGAAUUAAAAUGUGAGGGCUUGAAAAUGCUGCAGGAACAGGGAGCAGCAGUCUGGGAGUGGAGCUUUGGCCACCCCAGAUCCUUCACAAGAACAUGGGACAAGCUCUCUAAGGUGCAACUGUUGGGUUAUUGCAUUGCUUAUGGAUUUGAAGGCCAGGAAGGAGUCUGACAUUCUGGAUAACAAUUAAAAUGGUUAAUUCUGUAUUAGGUCUCAGAUCUGUGUUUAAAUAGUCUGUAUUGUGCUGCUUCAGCUCGUGUUGCUGUUUCCAGGAGGAGAACCUGUUCUUCCCUCACCACCCAGUCAGGCUUUGCUGUGUACAUCUUUGUGUCUGAGUUUCCCCAGCUCCAGCUUCUGGACUUCUCAUGCCAAGACAUUUUAGAUUUGUCAGUCAGCUCGUUCUCACAGAACCCCAGACUUGUUUGGGGGAGAACAGACCUUAAACCCCAUCCCAUUCCAUCCUUGCCAUCCCUUCCAGUACCCCAGGCUGCUCCAAGCCCUGUCCUACCUGGUCUGGGACAUUUCCAGGGAUCCAGGGACAGCCACAGCUGCUCAGGGCAAAGCUCUGGAUAGUUUCUUCCCAUGGUUUAUUGGUAAUUAUUGUGCAAACAGGCUGAUUAAAUCUUUUCUCGCACUAAAAAAUAAGGGAGCAGUUUUAGUUUUACCUUUCCUAACACUGUCAAACAAAUUUGUUGUCUUAUCAAAACCAAAAUCUGGGUGGCUGUUGUCUCUCAGAAUCCUGGAAUUUUUCUCUCUGUGUCAUUAUACCAUGGUGAAAGAAAUUAGCUCUGUGACUACUUUGGGGGCUUUGUUUGCCAUUAAAUAUAUUUCUAUCUAAACAGGAUAAUACUUGUUUCCAUUUUUGUAUAAAACAAAAUAUACACGUGCUAUUGUUUUGACAAACUCAGACACCGAGGCUCUGCUCUGUCCUAUCAUUUAAUUACGUCUUCCAGAUUUCUUGGUGUCUUUGAUGCUGUGGCAGAACUAACUAUGGUGUAAGAAGGAAAAUAUUUUGUAACAUUAGAAAAGCUCUGUAAGGGUAGAAAACGCUCAGUAAGCUUUUUCCAUGAUCUCCAGAGAAAGGCACGGGAAAAAUAAAUUACUUUCUAAAGUUUGGGAUGCA
This is a long non-coding RNA of Cyanistes caeruleus (blue tit), 3513 nucleotides long. NCBI's taxonomy places the organism in Eukaryota, Metazoa, Chordata, Aves, Passeriformes, Paridae. The record is from Ensembl.